UCAGGAUGAACGCUGGCGGCGUGCUUAACACAUAGCAAGUACGAACGAAGCCAAAAGGAAGCUUGCUUCUUGAAGCUAGUGGCGGACGGGUGAGUAACGCGUGCGUAACCUGCCCUUCAGUGGGGAAUAACACAGAGAAAUCUGUGCUAAUACCGCAUAACGUCUUCUUGCCGCAUGACAGGAAGACCAAAGGAUUUAUUCGCUGAAGGAUGGGACUCGCGUCCGAUUAGCUAGUUGGUGAGGUAACGGCCCACCAAGGCGACGAUCGGUAGCCGAACUGAGAGGUUGAUCGGCCACAUUGGGACUGAGACACGGCCCAGACUCCUACGGGAGGCAGCAGUGGGGAAUAUUGGGCAAUGGGCGAAAAAGCCUGACCCAGCAACGCCGCGUGAAGGAAGACGGUCUUCGGAUUGUAAACUUCUUUGAUUGGGGAAGAAACAAAUGACCUACCCAAAGAACAAGUCACGGCUAACUACGUGCCAGCCGCCGC
This 490-nucleotide ribosomal RNA is filed under the name uncultured bacterium. RNAcentral describes it as "bacterial SSU rRNA". It matches the Rfam family "Bacterial small subunit ribosomal RNA", at positions 24 to 518 of the family's 1533-position model. The record is from RNAcentral.